This 497-nucleotide ribosomal RNA is filed under the name uncultured bacterium. RNAcentral's name for it is "partial 16S ribosomal RNA". It matches the Rfam family "Bacterial small subunit ribosomal RNA", at positions 28 to 507 of the family's 1533-position model. The record is from RNAcentral.
GACGAACGCUGGCGGCGUGCCUAAUACAUGCAAGUCGAGCGCAGAGGCGUGGUGCUUGUACCAACGGGGUGAGCAGCGGACGGGUGAGUAACGCGUGGGGAAUCUGCCUUUGAGCGGGGGACAACAUCGGGAAACGAAUGCUAAUACCGCAUAAAAUCUUUAACCACAAGUUUUAAGUGUGAAAGAUGCAAUUGCAGCACUUAAAGAUGAUCUCCCGUCGUAUUAGCUAGUUGGUGAGGUAAAGGCUCAACAAGGGGAAGAUACAUAGCCGACCUGGAAGGGGGGUUCGCCCACAUGGGAACGAGAACAGGCCCAAGACCCCUAGGGGAGGCGCCAGAGGGAAACUUUGGGCAAUGGCGGAAAGCCGAACGAGGCACGCCGGGGGGGGUGAGAAGGGUCUCGGGUCCGAAAAACCCGUUUGUAGGGGAAAAAGUAAGUGGGAGUGAAAAGCUCAUGUAGUGACGGUAACUAAUCAGAAAGCGACGGCUAACUACGUG